AAGGAAGAAAUUUAUAAUUUUAGCUGGAAGCUCUGAUCUAUCUACUAGCCAGUCGCGUAGAAGACCAUCAGCAUCUAAUUUAGGAGGCCCGGCAAAUAAAAGAAAAUGUGGAAUAUGUAAGGAAAGAGGUCAUAACAGAAAAAAUUGUCCGCUGAACAGAUGACAGUAUAUAAAUAGCCGAAUUUAGAACAUUGAUUACUAUUUGUAAUUUUUAUUGUAUAUAUGUACAUAAGUAUUAUUUUUAAAAAACUGAUCAUAAAUUAGUUUUUUAAGUAUUAAAAUAAGUAAUUUUCAAAAUUAGAGAUUUAAUGUGUUUUCUUUC
Long non-coding RNA from Stegodyphus dumicola, 322 nucleotides. The record is from RefSeq and is a predicted model, not a curated record. Lineage: Eukaryota; Metazoa; Arthropoda; Arachnida; Araneae; Eresidae.